Molecule: ribosomal RNA, 597 nt
Filed under: Dialister pneumosintes
Lineage: Bacteria; Bacillati; Bacillota; Negativicutes; Veillonellales; Veillonellaceae
Description: bacterial SSU rRNA
Rfam family: Bacterial small subunit ribosomal RNA
Source: RNAcentral
AGUCUGACGGAGCAACGCCGCGUGAACGAAGAAGGUCUUCGGAUGUAAAGUUCUGUGAUUCGGGACGAAAGGGUUUGUGGUGAAUAAUCAUAGACAUUGACGGUACCGAAAAAGCAAGCCACGGCUAACUACGUGCCAGCAGCCGCGGUAAUACGUAGGUGGCAAGCGUUGUCCGGAAUUAUUGGGCGUAAAGCGCGCGCAGGCGGUUUCUUAAGUCCAUCUUAAAAGCGUGGGGCUCAACCCCAUGAGGGGAUGGAAACUGGGAAGCUGGAGUAUCGGAGAGGAAAGUGGAAUUCCUAGUGUAGCGGUGAAAUGCGUAGAGAUUAGGAAGAACACCGGUGGCGAAGGCGACUUUCUAGACGAAAACUGACGCUGAGGCGCGAAAGCGUGGGGAGCAAACAGGAUUAGAUACCCUGGUAGUCCACGCCGUAAACGAUGGAUACUAGGUGUAGGAGGUAUCGACCCCUCCUGUGCCGGAGUUAACGCAAUAAGUAUCCCGCCUGGGGAAGUACGAUCGCAAGAUUAAAAUCAAAGGAAUUGACGGGGGCCCGCACAAGCGGUGGAGUAUGUGGUUUAAUUCGACGCACGCGAGAACCU